GCCACAUGUGACAUAAAACUACAUUCCUUUGAAUAACAAAUUAUGAAAAUCAACGAUUCUUUUGGUAAAAAAUUAUCUCCUAUUAUUUUCUCAUAUUAUUUUCAUGUUACCAUAGCGACUAUUAAUAUUUUGAACAUGGACUACUUUAUGUUGAAUGGAAUUUCUAUACUUAAUCUGUUAAAAAGGGCGAGGGGUUGCUGCAUGCAUGUAUUUCUAGUCAGAAAAUAAGUUAAAUUCAGGUAAUUUCAUUGCUAUCCUCCAUAAAAAUAUGGGCAAGCUUUCAACUGCCCCCUGGAAAGCAUUAGCUCCGUACGCCUAUGGUUACCCAUGUCAAUUAAUCUGCAGGUGUGAAAGUAAAAUUGGCUUAUCUCGUUUGAACGUUCACUCAUGAAGCAUAUACUAACUUCAAUCUACAAUAUUUGUAUUUAAUUUUCAGCUACAGUGUGAAUGGACCAGUCUCUGGUACAGCAUAUAAUGCAACUGCGUUCAUUGGGUGUGACCAAGGCAAGGCAAGUCUCGAACAAAAUACGAAAAUACGUUACUAUAUAUAGAAUCGUGAAUAAAAGAAAAGAUAUACAUCUUUUUAGGAGUGUUCAAUAGACAAAUCUGUUUAAUAUUUUUAAUUCUUACCUUUAAAAAAACUUCCUCUAUAGUGCUGUGCUUGUUAUGGGCCAAUUACUAGUACGAAGGACUACUGUACUGAGAAAUGUCAAGCGAUUAAUGGUGGAACAGUUUCAAAAAACGUGCACGUGUGGUUCUGGGUGCGUUCCAUGCUACCAAAAAGAGUAUGGAGAAAAUGUAUGGAAUUUCAAAGUCAGGGAGACAAUGAUCAACUUGAAUGGUAUAAGUUAAUAGCAGGAGAUCCAACGCCAGUUAAGGUACGUUCAUUUACAAAUAUACUGCGUGGACAAGCUUUGGACGUCCAUUUUGGGACAUUGAUCCUAUGCAUGAACAUACAAGGAAGUAAUAUAAUUUAAAAUUAUUUAUUUAUUAAGCUUUCAUAGACAAAUAAUUAAUUAGCUUGCAUGUCAAUUAGAUGCAAAUUGCCACUUUAGUUCACGUGUCAUGACAUAUGCUUUGUUUAGCUAGUAGCGAACAAAGAAUUUGUUAUUACACGUGAACUGAAUUUAAUUGCCAUACAAGCUAAAUUUGUCUAUUGUACAAUGCAAUGUUUGAGAAAACAUAUGAAUAUAAAUUAGGCGAGAUUACAACAGGUCAGUUUACAUCCGCCAAAGUAAACUGUAAAACUGCCAUAAUUAUAUAAUUAUGUCUCAAUCAAUUCCAUG
Molecule: non-coding RNA, 1286 nt
Organism: Paramuricea clavata
Lineage: Eukaryota; Metazoa; Cnidaria; Anthozoa; Malacalcyonacea; Plexauridae
Source: the annotation of a GenBank genome assembly